RNAcentral lists this ribosomal RNA (254 nucleotides) under uncultured bacterium. RNAcentral describes it as "partial 16S ribosomal RNA". It matches the Rfam family "Bacterial small subunit ribosomal RNA", at positions 524 to 776 of the family's 1533-position model. The record is from RNAcentral.
UACGUAGGGUGCGAGCGUUGUCCGGAAGUAUUGGGCGUAAAGAGCUCGUAGGCGGUCUGUCGCGUCGAUCGUGAAAACUUGGGGCUUAACCCUGAGCUUGCGGUCGAUACGGGCAUGACUGGAGUUCGGCAGGGGAGACUGGAAUUCCUGGUGUAGCGGAGAAAUGCGCAGAUAUCAGGAGGAACACCGGUGGCGAAGGCGGGUCUCUGGGCCGUAACUGACGCUGAGGAGCGAAAGCAUGGGGAGCGAACAGG